RNAcentral lists this unclassified non-coding RNA (285 nucleotides) under plant metagenome. RNAcentral describes it as "partial contains small subunit ribosomal RNA, internal transcribed spacer 1, and 5.8S ribosomal RNA". The stretch from base 1 to 54 matches the Rfam family "Eukaryotic small subunit ribosomal RNA", at positions 1778 to 1831 of the family's 1831-position model. The record is from RNAcentral.
GGAAGUAAAAGUCGCAACAAGGUUUCCGUAGGUGAACCUGCGGAAGGAUCAUUAUUGUAUAACCGAGGUGCGAGGGCUGUCGCUGACCCGAAAGGUCGUGCACGCCCGAGUGCCCUCACACACAUCCAUCUCACCCCUAUGUGCACCACCGCGUGGGUCCCCCUUUGGCUUGUUCGGAGGGGGGCUUACGCUUUCACACAAACUUUGUAUGCAGUGUAGAAUGUAUUUUUUGUUUUUGCGAUCACGCAAUCAAUACAACUUUCAACAACGGAUCUCUUGGCUCUC